RNAcentral lists this ribosomal RNA (150 nucleotides) under uncultured Paracoccus sp. RNAcentral's name for it is "partial 16S ribosomal RNA". It matches the Rfam family "Bacterial small subunit ribosomal RNA", at positions 505 to 654 of the family's 1533-position model. Lineage: Bacteria; Pseudomonadati; Pseudomonadota; Alphaproteobacteria; Rhodobacterales; Paracoccaceae. The record is from RNAcentral.
CUGCCAGCAGCCGCGGUAAUACGGAGGCGGCUAGCGUUGUUCGGAAUUACUGGGCGUAAAGCGCACGUAGGCGGACCGGAAAGUUGGGGGUGAAAUCCCGGGGCUCAACCUCGGAACUGCCUUCAAAACUAUCGGUCUGGAGUACGAGAG